CGGGUGUAGUUCAAUGGUAGAACUUCAGCUUCCCAAGCUGACGGCGCGGGUUCGAUUCCCGUCACCC
This 67-nucleotide transfer RNA is filed under the name uncultured Georgenia sp. It matches the Rfam family "tRNA". Rfam says of the family: Transfer RNA (tRNA) molecules are approximately 80 nucleotides in length. The record is from RNAcentral. RNAcentral also lists the same sequence under 1 other name. Lineage: Bacteria; Bacillati; Actinomycetota; Actinomycetes; Allobogoriellales; Allobogoriellaceae.